RNAcentral lists this ribosomal RNA (559 nucleotides) under uncultured bacterium. RNAcentral describes it as "partial 16S ribosomal RNA". It matches the Rfam family "Bacterial small subunit ribosomal RNA", at positions 355 to 914 of the family's 1533-position model. The record is from RNAcentral.
UGAGGAAUAUUGGUCAAUGGGUGCAAGCCUGAACCAGCCAUCCCGCGUGAAGGACGACUGCCCUAUGGGUUGUAAACUUCUUUUGUAUAGGGAUAAACCUACCCUCGUGAGGGUAGCUGAAGGUACUAUACGAAUAAGCACCGGCUAACUCCGUGCCAGCAGCCGCGGUAAUACGGAGGGUGCAAGCGUUAUCCGGAUUUAUUGGGUUUAAAGGGUCCGUAGGCGGACUUAUAAGUCAGUGGUGAAAGCCUGUCGCUUAACGAUAGAACUGCCAUUGAUACUGUAAGUCUUGAGUAUAUUUGAGGUAGCUGGAAUAAGUAGUGUAGCGGUGAAAUGCAUAGAUAUUACUUAGAACACCAAUUGCGAAGGCAGGUUACCAAGAUAUAACUGACGCUGAGGGACGAAGGCGUGGGGAGCGAACAGGAUUAGAUACCCUGGUAGUCCACGCCGUAAACGAUGCUAACUCGUUUUUGGGCUUUAGGGUUCAGAGACCAAGCGAAAGUGAUAAGUUAGCCACCUGGGGAGUACGCUCGCAAGAGUGAAACUUAAAGGAAUUGAC